This 407-nucleotide ribosomal RNA is filed under the name uncultured bacterium. RNAcentral describes it as "partial 16S ribosomal RNA". It matches the Rfam family "Bacterial small subunit ribosomal RNA", at positions 30 to 526 of the family's 1533-position model. The record is from RNAcentral.
AUUGAACGCUGGCGGCAGGCCUAACACAUGCAAGUCGAGCGGAGCGGCGGACGGGUGAUUAAUGCCUAGGAAUUUGCCUGUUAGUGGGGUACAACUUCCGGUAACGGGCCCUAUUACCGCAUACUAGCAGAUGACCUUCGGUGGGAUUAGCUAGUUGGUGGGGUAAAGGCCUACCAAGGCGACGAUCCGUAACCGGUCUGAGAGGAUGAUCAGUCACACUGGAACUGAGACACGGUCCAGACUCCUACGGGAGGCAGCAGUAGGGAAUAUUGGACAAUGGGCGAAAGUCUGACCCAGCCAUGCCGCGUGAGUGAAGAAGGUCUUCGGAUUGUAAAGCACUUUUAGUUGGGAAGCGUUACCAACAGAAUAAGCACCGGCUAACUUCGUGCCAGCAGCCGCGGUAAUAC